AUGAACGCUGGCGGCGUGCCUAAUACAUGCAAGUCGAGCGAACAGACGAGGAGCUUGCUCCUCUGACGUUAGCGGCGGACGGGUGAGUAACACGUGGAUAACCUACCUAUACGACUGGGAUAACUUCGGGAAACCGGAGCUAAUACCGGAUAAUAUAUUGAACCGCAUGGUUCAAUAGUGAAAGACGGUUUUGCUGUCACUUAUAGAUGGAUCCGCGCCGCAUUAGCUAGUUGGUAAGGUAACGGCUUACCAAGGCAACGAUGCGUAGCCGACCUGAGAGGGUGAUCGGCCACACUGGAACUGAGACACGGUCCAGACUCCUACGGGAGGCAGCAGUAGGGAAUCUUCCGCAAUGGGCGAAAGCCUGACGGAGCAACGCCGCGUGAGUGAUGAAGGUCUUCGGAUCGUAAAACUCUGUUAUUAGGGAAGAACAAAUGUGUAAGUAACUAUGCACGUCUUGACGGUACCUAAUCAGAAAGCCACGGCUAACUACGUG
This 496-nucleotide ribosomal RNA is filed under the name uncultured bacterium. RNAcentral's name for it is "partial 16S ribosomal RNA". It matches the Rfam family "Bacterial small subunit ribosomal RNA", at positions 29 to 507 of the family's 1533-position model. The record is from RNAcentral.